This 419-nucleotide ribosomal RNA is filed under the name uncultured bacterium. Its description in RNAcentral is "bacterial SSU rRNA". It matches the Rfam family "Bacterial small subunit ribosomal RNA", at positions 355 to 786 of the family's 1533-position model. The record is from RNAcentral.
UGGGGAAUAUUGCGCAAUGGGCGAAAGCCUGACGCAGCGACGCCGCGUGAGGGAUGAAGGCCUUCGGGUUGUAAACCUCUUUCAGCAGGGACGAAGCGCAAGUGACGGUACCUGCAGAAGAAGCGCCGGCUAACUACGUGCCAGCAGCCGCGGUAACACGUAGGGCGCAAGCGUUGUUCGGAAUUACUGGGCGUAAAGAGUGUGUAGGCGGUGCUCUAAGUUCGGUGUGAAAUCUCCCGGCUUAACUGGGAGGGUGCGCCGGAAACUGGAGUGCUUGAGCGCGGGAGAGGAAAGCGGAAUUCCUGGUGUAGCGGUGAAAUGCGUAGAUAUCAGGAGGAACACCUGUGGUGUAGACGGCUUUCUGGACCGUAGCUGACGCUGAGACACGAAAGCGUGGGUAGCAAACAGGAUUAGAACCC